RNAcentral lists this ribosomal RNA (253 nucleotides) under uncultured bacterium. RNAcentral's name for it is "partial 16S ribosomal RNA". It matches the Rfam family "Bacterial small subunit ribosomal RNA", at positions 524 to 776 of the family's 1533-position model. The record is from RNAcentral.
UACGAAGGGGGCUAGCGUUGCUCGGAAUUACUGGGCGUAAAGGGCGCGUAGGCGGAUGUUUAAGUCGGGGGUGAAAGCCCGGGGCUCAACCUCGGAAUUGCCUUCGAUACUGGACAUCUUGAGUACGGGAGAGGUGAGUGGAACUCCGAGUGUAGAGGUGAAAUUCGUAGAUAUUGGGAAGAACACCGGUGGCGAAGGCGGCUCACUGGCUCAUUACUGACGCUCAGGCGCGAUAGCGUGGGGAUCAAACAGG